RNAcentral lists this ribosomal RNA (392 nucleotides) under uncultured bacterium. Its description in RNAcentral is "partial 16S ribosomal RNA". It matches the Rfam family "Bacterial small subunit ribosomal RNA", at positions 523 to 918 of the family's 1533-position model. The record is from RNAcentral.
AUACGGAGGAUGCGAGCGUUAUCCGGAUUUAUUGGGUUUAAAGGGAGCGUAGGCGGGAGCUUAAGUCAGCGGUUAAAUGGUGCGGCUCAACCGUGCCCUGCCGUUGAAACUGGGUUUCUUGAGAGUGCAAGAGGCGGAUGGAAUUCAUGGGGUAGGGGUGAAAUGCUUAGAUAUCAUGAAGAACUCCGAUUGCGAAGGCAGUCCGCUGGGGCACGUCUGACGCUGAUGCUCGAAGGUGCGGGAAUCAAACAGGAUUAGAUACCCUGGUAGUCCGCACGGUAAACGAUGAUUACCCGCUGUCGGCGGUAGACAGUCGGCGGCCAAGCGAAAGCGAUAAGUAAUCCACCUGGGGAGUACGCCGGCAACGGUGAAACUCAAAGGAAUUGGCGGGG